RNAcentral lists this ribosomal RNA (457 nucleotides) under uncultured bacterium. RNAcentral's name for it is "partial 16S ribosomal RNA". It matches the Rfam family "Bacterial small subunit ribosomal RNA", at positions 338 to 795 of the family's 1533-position model. The record is from RNAcentral.
CCUACGGGUGGCAGCAGUGGGGAAUAUUGCACAAUGGGGGAAACCCUGAUGCAGCGACGCCGCGUGAGUGAAGAAGUAUUUCGGUAUGUAAAGCUCUAUCAGCAGGGAAGAAAUAAAGGCCUUUUGACUUAGGACGGUACCUUAAUAACAAGCCCCGGCUCACUACGUGACAACAGCCGCGGUAGUACGUAGGGGGCAAGCGUUAUCCGGAUUUACUGGGUGUAAAGGGAGCGUAGACGGCAGCGCAAGUCUGGAGUGAAAUCCCAUGGCUUAACCAUGGACCUGCUUUGGAAACUGUGCAGCUAGAGUGCAGGAGAGGUAAGCGGAAUUCCUAGUGUAGCGGUGAAAUGCGUAGAUAUUAGGAGGAACACCAGUGGCGAAGGCGGCUUACUGGACUGUAACUGACGUUGAGGCUCGAAAGCGUGGGGAGCAAACAGGAUUAGAUACCCCAGUAGUC